Molecule: ribosomal RNA, 484 nt
Filed under: uncultured bacterium
Lineage: Bacteria
Description: partial 16S ribosomal RNA
Rfam family: Bacterial small subunit ribosomal RNA
Source: RNAcentral
AUUGAACGCUGGCGGCAUGCUUUACACAUGCAAGUCGAACGGCAGCGCGGGCUUCGGCCUGGCGGCGAGUGGCGAACGGGCGAGUAAUGCAUCGGAACGUGCCCAGUAGUGGGGGAUAGCCCGGCGAAAGCCGGAUUAAUACCGCAUACGACCUGCGGGUGAAAGCGGGGGACCGAAAGGCCUCGCGCUAUUGGAGCGGCCGAUGUCGGAUUAGCUAGUUGGUGGGGUAAAGGCUUACCAAGGCGACGAUCCGUAGCUGGUCUGAGAGGACGACCAGCCACACUGGGACUGAGACACGGCCAAGACUACUAAGGGAGGCAGCAGUGGGGAAUUUGGGACAAUGGGGGCAACCCUGAUCCAGCCAGGCCGCGUGCGGGAAGAAGGCCUUCGGGUUGUAAACCGCUUUUGUUCGGGAAGAAAUCCUCUGGGCUAAUACCCCGGGGGGAUGACGGUACCGGAAGAAUAAGCACCGGCUAACUACGUG